RNAcentral lists this transfer RNA (72 nucleotides) under Fasciola gigantica. It matches the Rfam family "tRNA". Rfam says of the family: Transfer RNA (tRNA) molecules are approximately 80 nucleotides in length. Their secondary structure includes four short double-helical elements and three loops (D, anti-codon, and T loops). Further hydrogen bonds mediate the characteristic L-shaped molecular structure. tRNAs have two regions of fundamental functional importance: the anti-codon, which is responsible for specific mRNA codon recognition, and the 3' end, to which the tRNAs corresponding amino acid is attached (by aminoacyl-tRNA synthetases). tRNAs cope with the degeneracy of the genetic code in two manners: having more than one tRNA (with a specific anti-codon) for a particular amino acid; and 'wobble' base-pairing, i.e. permitting non-standard base-pairing at the 3rd anti-codon position. Lineage: Eukaryota; Metazoa; Platyhelminthes; Trematoda; Plagiorchiida; Fasciolidae. The record is from Rfam by way of RNAcentral.
ACCGCGGUAGCUCAGCUGUAGAGCAUCUGCCCGGUAUGCGGAGGGUGGCCUGUUCGACUCCGGCUCGCGGCG